UACGGAAGGCAGCAGUGGGGAAUAUUGCACAAUGGGCGAAAGCCUGAUGCAGCUAUGCCGCGUGUAUGAAGAAGGCCUUAGGGUUGUAAAGUACUUUCAUCGGGGAGGAAAAACAAAACUAAUAAUUUUAUUUCUUGACGUUACCCGAAAAAGAAGCACCGGCUAACUCCGUGCCAGCAGCCGCGGUAAUACGGAGGGUGCUAGCGUUAAUCAGAAUUACUGGGCGUAAAGGGCACGCAGGCGGUUAAUAAGUUGGAUGUGAAAUCCCCGGGCUUAACCUGGGAAUGGCAUUCAAGACUGGUUAGCUAGAGUCUUGUAGAGGGGGUAGAAUUCCAUGUGUAGCGGUGAAAUGCGUAGAGAUGUGGAGGAAUACCGGUGGCGAAGGCGGCCCCUGGACAAAGACUGACGCUCAUGUGCGAAAGCGUGGGGAGCAAACAGGGAUUAGAUACC
RNAcentral lists this ribosomal RNA (450 nucleotides) under uncultured bacterium. Its description in RNAcentral is "bacterial SSU rRNA". It matches the Rfam family "Bacterial small subunit ribosomal RNA", at positions 340 to 786 of the family's 1533-position model. The record is from RNAcentral.